RNAcentral lists this long non-coding RNA (15024 nucleotides) under Equus caballus (horse). RNAcentral describes it as "lncRNA (ENSECAG00000053429.1)". Lineage: Eukaryota; Metazoa; Chordata; Mammalia; Perissodactyla; Equidae. The record is from RNAcentral.
CUCAAAGGAAAGGCAGGUUCUGAGUAUGUAGAAAAUUAGUAUUCUGCAGUUUUCCUUCUCCACGUGUAUAAUUCUGUUAUCUGUUCCUCAGAAUGUAGACGUGUGAUGUGACAGAGUUGGGACGUUUUAUUAGGCUGCAGUACUUUCUUAGAGGUGUAAUCUGAAGGAGGCUACUACUCAUGUGAAAACUGGUGAAUGAGGAUUUGUGAUGCCAACUGUGAAGGUUGCCAGCAGUGGAGGAGAGACUGAUCUUCAGAGCACUCUCGUUUAAUAAUGAUCUUAGGGCUAAGAAUUGUUAGUUUUUAUUGAUUUCCUAGAAUUUACAUAAUUGAAAAAUUAGCAAAUGUAUGAGGUAUGUAUGAUGUGGCAUUUCCAAACUUAAGUCAUUUCCCUACUCCUUCAUUGUUUUUGCUGUGUUUUAUACCACAGCAUUUUAUCUCACUCUGUUUUUUGUUUGUUGUUCUGUUUGUUUGGUAACGUCUGUUGCCAAGCUUCCUUUUUUUGCUUGAGGAAGAUUCUCCCUGAGCUAACAUCUGUGCCAGUCUUCCUCUAUUUUGCAUGUGGGAUGCUGCCACAGCAUGGCCGAUGAGUGGUGUAGGUCUGCACCUGGGACCCGAACCCACCAACCUGGGCCACUGAAGUGGAGUGUGCCGAACUUAACCACUACACCACAGGGCCGGCCCCUUUCUCACUUUUUUCUUUUUAAACUUAGCAUUGUCAUAAGAAGUAAUACAUGUGGAGUCAUAGGUUGGUGUGUUAUUUUUUCCUAAUAUCUAUUUGAAUAAUACAUACUUAUUUAAAAAUCCCAACAUGUGGUAGAUAACUUUAUUUUAAACGCCACUAGUGAUAUUUCUAUCAUACCUGGGAAAUGCUGUUCACAUAAUGAAUAUUAUUUUUUAGGAUCUUCAGUGCUUAAUCCAUAAAAUUCUAAUAGAAAUAGAUGCAGUCACAGGAACUAGCGGACGUACUGUGUCUAACAGGGCUUUGGUUACAGCUUUUUCCUAUCACAGAUUAGUAUUCUGUUUGAUUAAUAUCUACAUUUGUUUGUGACUGAGGGACAACGAAAACAGUGUAUUUAAAUAAUUUUUGAACAGUGUUAAGCAGGAUGUGCUUCUAAAGUUAGUGAGGAAUGGGCCUAAGGAAGUGCUAAUGACCGUGACAUUAAGAUACAAAAAUCUUGGAAAAUACUGAUACUUGUGGUAGAGAAAGAAUUUGAUAAUCCCGUGAUCCGAGGGUGAAGAAGAUAAUGAGGCUUGACCGGCCCCGGGGAAGCGUUGUUAGAUUAGUGACUUAAAUUUCAGGUAUUGAGGAAAGAAUUCCAGUAGGGAAGUUUUUCGCAUUUUCCUCUUCUUCUCCUUUUAUUUGCCCAUAUCUUUUUGUUCACUUGAGAGUAUGUAAGAUGUUGUCCUGGGGACAUUUCCUAUCAGUGUCAGCAGGAAAGAGUACUUUGUUGGAGGGGUGCCCUGGCGAUCCUUGGUAGCUGAGGAAGUACCCACGUGCUGCUUCUCUCCCCUCUCAAAUGGUUUUAAAGUUCUAGAAUUUGCCUAAACCAUUGGAUUUAUAUAUAAUUUAAAUGUUAACUUCUUCCGUCAUUUUGGUAAGUUUGUCCCUUGGUGUAUAAAUUAAUACUUUAAAUUUGUUCUAAAACAUCUGUGUUUAAAGUUGAAAAGCAAGUUGCUUAUUUCAGGUGUUCCAGAACUUUGUAGAUGAGUCUUAUACACUAUAGACAGUGAGCACAUUGAAACUUAGUCUUUUUGGUUUUCCUUUUGAAGAGUCUAACUUCAUAUAUAGUCCUGUUUUCGCUCCUGACUUCCUUUACCCAUUUUUUAUGAUUUGAAUCAUUAACACCCUAUACCAGCAGGCAGGAUAGUAAAAGCAGGCAAGGUAAAUAAAGGAAAAGUGAUAGAACUUCAGAUGAGUUAAUUUUGUAAUUUGUGUUAGAUCAGUUAAAACAGGAGUAUGUUAAAAUAGUCAAAGAACAAUCGUUUAAACUUUGGAGAUUUUUUGCCCUUUUCUCACUUAGAACAAUUAAUUGACAGUGAGAUGUGAGAGACACUGACAGAGCUUUAGUGAAAAGCAGCAAAAUGGAAUUCAGAAGGAGAAUUUAGAGGGAAAACUUGAAAAUGGAAAUGCAGUUUUGCUAGGUGAAAACUAAGGAAAAGGGGAUCAGGAAAGUUACAGAAAAAUGAUAGCAUUCUCGAAUGAAUGGCAUAACGUUUAUAGAGAGAACCUGCUGAGAUGGUGAAAGAGUCUAGAGAUGUGUGUGAUUGCAAACCUCCCCCCUUUUUGAGCGAAUAGACCGUUCAAACUAAAUUAAGAAAAGGAUAUAAAGUCUGUUGUUUGUUUUAAUAUUUCAUGACUGAUUUUAUAGAUGAAAUUAUAUUUUACAAUAAAUAGGAAGAAGAAUUUAUGUAGCCUGUUCUAUUUGAUGUGAAACAGCAAAUCCCGUCUCUCUGUAGCUGUGAAGAAAAUUCGUUAUAAUGUCUUUAGUUGUAAGAGAUGGUUUCAUUGUGAUUAGUUACAUUGAUGAUAAAACAACCUUUUCAAAUGGCAUACGACACGAAUGAUCGUGUGUGUCUGCUUUUAAUGGCAUUGAAAUUUUUCAUUUUCUGUUUUACUCAUAGAAUUUUCCUUUUUUUAUGCUGUUUUCCUGUUCCAAUAAGAAUUUUCUUCCUUUUGAGAAAAAUCAAAACAAUUAGAUGGAAAUAUUAACAAAGCAUUAAUUUUAAAAAUACAUUUUGAAAGGAGAUAUAUUGGAUUUUAACUUUUUGUGUAAAAUCUUUCCUACUACACAAGAUAGCUUUGUCAGAGGUGGUUAAGAUCGCCAUAAAAUUGACUUUAUUACUGGAUCAAUUUAAUGUAUUUGGAAAAUAGUACUUGAAGUGUAGGAACAUUUUAAUAAAAGAAACAGCCAAGUAAGAAAACUGGGCUAAUGUUACAGUUUAUUUUUGUCCCAUGACUUGUCACGUUAUGUUGCUGUUACUACAUCCUCACGAGUAGUGUUGGGAAGGGGAGACUCUUUGAUAAUGAAAGGGGUGAGGUCUGUUUAUUCUGUUACAGUCACCAUGGCUUGAUCCCUAUUAGUAUGGCUUUUUAAUGAUUGUUUUAGCUCUAACUUAAGCACUAAGCAAAUAUUCUAAUUUUUAACUUGCAGGCAGAAUCAAAUUAGGUAUUUGAAACAGAACAUGGGUAUCCCCUGGAAUAGGAACAGUAUUCUCUUCUGACUUGAGUGCGAAUUUUUUUCUCUCUGUCGAUAGUUUUAUUUACUCUGACCAUUUGGGCUUAAGAGCACAUAGUUCUAGCUUGUCUUGGGUUUGUCCUUGGACUCUGGCUGGGGAAGGUUAUUUUUAGAAGUAGGCUAGACAUGGCAUGUGAGAUGCUUUGGAGGUGGAACUUAAUCAGAUGUGAGUCCUGUGACCAGAGCCCCUACAUCUCCGAAGUUUGAAUGCCUCCUGCUAGGUGAGGGUGAGGAAGUUUUGUAUUCUGUGUGGCCAAAAGGAUUGUGACUCAUUCAGCCCCAGUGGCAUGUGGCUGUAUAGGUGUUUACUGCAUGGGCUGCCCCAUCAGGUUUGGGGAAGAGUAGAAAUAGAGGUUGCUAACAUUUCUGAGCUUAGCUGGACAGGAACUCAUGGCUACUGUUAUCUUUGAGGCAAGUUGUUUGCUAUAAAUGAUUCUAGGGGCCAAUAAGAAUGAAUGCCUUCAUCCAAAAUGAGGUUUUUCAGGAAACAUGAAGACAUUUCUUUUAUUCCAUACAAAUCUAAAUUUGAAACUCUCUACCUCAUGUCUUUGUUAGUUAGCUCUUUAAUAAUUCUUGAUUUUAGUAUCCCAGUUUUUCAUUGUAAGCCGUGUCAAGUCUGGUUUUGGUAGUGGGAGAGGCAUAAAUGUAAAUGUCAGUUUAUUAAGUUUUGAAAUCUUUCAGAAGUUUGAUGGGAAUUCUUCUCUUCAACCAGUAUACUUCGUGGACCUCCUCCCGUGUACCUUAAUACUAUUGUGAUAGUAUAGAACAUUCUUGUUAAAGGUUGGAGGGUAUAGGAAAGGAAAUCUAUGUAAAAUAUAUACAAACGAGGGGUGAACUUGAGCUCUAUCUACUCUUGCUCAGGUGCAAAGGAGAGAGAGGGCAUUAUAUUAGUUAUCUACUCGAUGUGUAACAAAUUAUGUCAGAACUUAGUGGCUUAAAGCAAAUAAGCAUUUAUUAUUCUCUCAGUUUCUGUGGGUCAGGGUGUGGAGUAGGCUCAUUACCCAGUUGGUCGUGGCUGCAGUCAGGAUUUUGUAGGGGCUGCAAUCAUCUGAAGGCUUGCCUGGGGCUGGAGGAGCUGCUCUCCAGGCAGCUCACUCCCAUGGCUGUUGGCAGGAGGCCCCAGUUCCUCUUUGGCUCUUGGUAGGAGGCUUCGGUUCCUUGCCCCCUGGGCCUCCAUGUGCACAGGCUGCAGAAGUGUUCUUGCGACAGGUCCCCCACUUCCUUGGGCGGAGUGAUCAAGAGAGGGGGCAAGCAGGAUACCGGCACCUCUGUGACUGUGUCUCCAGAGCCGAAAACCCUCACUGCCACUGUUUUCUGUCCCUUGCAAGCACUUGGUCACCAAGGCCAGCCCACACCAAGGGGAGGGAAUUAGGCUCCACCUUUUGAAGGGAGUGUCAGAGAAUUUGUGGACUCAUUCUGAAUCGCCACAGGCAUUUUCCUAGUGGGGGAAGGUAGAGUUAACAGACUUACCCUUAGGAAUGCAAUGCAGCCUGUCCCUGGCACGUUGAUGGAGGUGGGUUUGGCUGGACCCGAGUGUUCAGGAGCUGAUCCCAUUGUGAAUAAACAACUAUGUUACACAUCCAUUUGUGGUAAAAUUGCUUCUGAUGUUACCAAUAAAUGGUUUUUAGGGUGUUAAAUUUUACUCUUUUGUCAUGGAAGAAGUUAUUCAACUUGUGACUGUUAGCAUUUUCAUAGAAGAGUGAUUUUUUUCUUUGUAGGAUCAGAUACUUUAUUUUGUGGUCUCUGUUACAAAGUGAUGUUUCUGAUGGGAGAGUGUGGUGAGAGGAGGAUUACAUAAAGCACAGCUCCUUUUGGUUCCCCUUAGGUUAUGCACAUGGUGUUUUGUAACGACAACGAAUACUACAGUUUUCUCCUGAACAGACUAUAUAUGGACUUGGUGGUACUUUAUUAAAUCAGGAGGAGACUGUGCUGUAGGAUCUCCACAACUUCUGGAGUUCGUCCUUUUUUGACCUCCUCAAAGGGAAAGGGCAAAAGAGCAUUGGGAGCUUUUAUAAAUGCACGUGUGUGCACGCCAGCCAUGCUGCACACUAUCCCCUGUUGUGACUUUACCAUGGGCCUGGUGCCAACACGUGCUAACUGCACACUGCUUGCACCACUAAUUUGGGUAAGUCUAGGAGGGGUGAAGGGUGAGAUGGCGUGGGACGGAGGCAGGGAGAAGGUGGUUUCCUGUGUGGGUGGCCUUGUACCAGUGAGAGAGGAUGUCUGUGAGUGUGAGUGUGUGUGUGUGUGUGUGUGUGUGAGUGAGUGAGAGAGGGUGUGAGAAAGAGACAGAAAGCAAGCUCAAGCUGCCUUAAUGUCUACUGGUUAGAAAAGAGAGAAGAGAUGAAAAGAGAAGUGAAGACUGGAACAAAAUAAGUGAAAACUGGAACAAAAAGGAGGGAAAUGAGGGGAGAGACUUCAUGUGUGCUGCCCAUAGUCAAGAUAGCAUGUGAAGUGGUUGAGAACUGUUAACGUUUCCUGGAAUAAUUUCUUUAAAAUGCUGAAAGAAACUUCCUGUGAGAAGCGGCCACCAGGUGUCAUCAGAGGGCUGCUAUUGAUUUGUUUUGUUCUUGUUCUUAAAGAGUAUUGGAGUGUUUCGAUUUCUUUCUUGCAAGUGUGUUUUUUUUUUCUUCUUUUUAAACCACAGCAGAGACUGUUUCAGUCAGAGCGGGGACUUUCUUUUGGGAGUUUCCUGCUGGGCUAAUAAUUUUUUAUGGGUAACACUGAAGAUCAAGUUACAGGUAACUUUUUAGUCAAGGAACAGCUAGUUGAGAAUUUGGAUAAGAGUUGAUAGUCUAAGUGGAAUUGCAUAUUUGAAAAUCUUUGUGGAGUUGGAUGUUGUUGAAUUUGCAUAGGCAGCAUGUGCUUUAAGAUUUGGGAAUAACAUAUCUCAUUAUUGUAGUCUGAACACCUGCUAUGUCUUGUGAGUCUUGAAACCUGACUAUGGGAAGAAAUUCGAGGCUCAUUUUCUUUCUCCAGUGGAACAAGUCCCAGUUCUUUCAGAGAGGACAGAGAUGAUGCCUUUCUUAAGGGCCAACAGUGAAUCCCCUGCUUGUUCUGUUGUUUGCUUUGUUCUUGAGGGAAUUAACGAUGCUUUCUGGUACACAGUAGGCUUGCAAUAAGUGUUUGUUGAAUGAGUAAACGAAAUCUGUCUCCAGAAGAAUGAGCCCUUAAACUGUCCGUCCCAAUUGGGUGAUUUUUGAAUUCUUCUUAAGAAAGACCCCAUCCCCUGUCUCCGUUGGUUACAAGGUACUUGUUCGAAUAAGCUUUCUGAUGAAGAUUUUUCCUUUUAAUUUAUAUUUGCAUAAAUUUCCUCAUUUCUGUUUCAUCUUCUGUAGAUCACUAUAAGAUACUUUUCUAGAUCACUUUAAGAUACUUAUUAAAUCACCUUGCACUCCCGCUUACUGACAUCAUUCUAGUUCUGGGCUUUAUCAGUUAAACUAUUAGAAUGUACUUUUUCUGUCUCGAGGCUUUCUCGACCUAUACUAUGUCCUGUGUACUGAAAAAUUAACCUUCCUUAAGCGGUGCUGUGUUUUGGUGACUCCCCACUGACGCUACUGGAUAAAUCCCAGCUUUGAAGUCAGAGCCUUCUGUGGUCUGGUCCGGGCUGGUCAUUUGCCUUUGUUUUAAGUUGCUGUGCAGUAGACAGCCAGUGCUGUCGCUGUCUGGACUGCUCACGGCCUUGCACACUCACUGUGUGUGUUUUUGGCUUUGCCUAAUCCCUUCCUUCUACUUGAGAUGUUUAACUCUUCCUAUCUGCUUCUUCAACAGAAGACAAAAACGGUUUUAGUUUCUUCAAGGUUUAGCUGAAAUAACAUUUCUACUAUUUUAGCCAGCUAUUCUACUUGGGAGUAGGAUCUCUUGCUCAUUAUACUGCUAUAGAUCUUGGUGUGUAUCACACACGUGAUCCUAUUUGGCCUUGUGUGAGUUCCUUUGCGUAUAUGUCACAUGGCUUCUAAUAGAAUAUGAGGGCAAAGAAUGGGUUCAUAUCAGUGUCCUUCCUUUCGUAUGCUAGGCACUCAAUAUAUAUUUGUUGAAUGUUUGUUCUUUCUUGCUAUAAUGAGAUGAUGAAUUGACGACCUCAGAUGUGUAUGGAUGAGAUUUGUGCACCAUACAGCUUUGCGAAAUGUGAAAUUGCCCUAUAGAUGAAGCGCAAUCUGUUCUUUUGUGUAUUUUACUAAAGAAUGUCAACUGAAUUCCUGGGGAAGGGGAAAUGCUGAUAUGUCCUCCCCUGUCUUCAGGACACAGAUGGCCCAGACGUGUUUGUGGCUCAGUGAAGGUGAGGGAGCUGCUGAGCUGCCAGUCCACAAAGAUUGAUGAAAUCUGAGAACUUCAGAGGAAAGAGCUGGCGUGGCACCAAGGCCAUUAGCAUAUGGAAUCCUUAUCAAGUGUAUCUCGGCUUACUUGCACAUUGAAUUUUCAGUUAGACUUCUUUUAGUUUACUUAAUUACCUGCUUAUAACAAUUCAAAUAAAUCCUGAGAAGUUAUGUUUUGUGUAGCUAGGGAGCUGACUUCAUGUAGAUUAACACUGGAGUCCAAAAUCGGAGAGAAGGGAAGAGUCUCACGUAUAAACUUCACAUUGUGUCUUUGUACUCAGUUCACUUUGGGUUCUGUCUAAUGGAAUGCAGUGCCUUAAAACGUUACAUGGUUGUGUUUUCAACUAGUUUUAUCUUCUGUAGUAUAUUUAUUUUCUAGAAGGAUAUAUUUUAAAUGUUUUGGCACCGAUAAAAUGUAGAGAAAUGUAAAUAUAAUGGCAAUUAGACAGUUUCAUUUUUAAGAUUAGUAAUUUCUCUUUCAGUGAAGAGAAGGUGAGUCAGGUAUGGUAAUUUUUCUAUUUAAAAUGGGGUACUAGCAUUAUAGCAUAUGCAUAUAUAUUUUUCUUUAAAAUCAAUGAGUAUUCAGUAUUGGUACUAAAUUUAAACCUGGUUGUUCUUUAACAUUUUCUAAAAUUGAUCUUCCCUUAAUGGGCUUUCCGUAGAUAGGACAUAAGUUGAGCCUCAUGUUCAGUGAUUUCUCUCCUAUUUCGGAGCCCAGUUAAUCUUCACUAUGGCCAUCACUCCGUCACUUAAUCCACUUCAUGUACUUACACUCUCAGCGACCCUUCUAGAUUCAGUGUUCAAAGCCUAAAGUUCAGCCAAGUUCCCUCAUUAGAAUUCCCGCCUUUGGUUAGUCUCGUCAUAGAAUUUUGAGAGAAAAGACCCGAAGCUCACUCUUCUACAUGAACCUCAUAAGAGUUAGCAUUUCCUAGCUUAGAAUGGAACCAGGGACACGGUAUGAAUGUCAGAGCCUUAGGACUUCUCCCCUCCUCACGCCUGAAUUGUUGUAAGUCAUUCUAGUUCUUCCACGUGGGAUGCUGCCACAGAAUGGCUUGAUGAGCAGCGUGCAGGUCUGUGCCCAGGAUCGGAACCGGUGAACCCUGAGUCACCGGAGCGGAGCACGUGAACUUAACCAAUCGGCCAUGGGGCUGGCCAGCUAAUUUUGUAUGUAAACUUAAUUCUCGGUCAAGAUGUCCUGGAUGCUCUUGGUAUUUUUAAUCUCACAUUGUUCAUUUUCACUCUUAACUUCAGUCUACAGAAUAUGUCAAAAUGGGGGCCCACAGAGAAGCUUUCUACACUGAAGUUUUUUUUCUUGGACUGAUUCUUCAGGCCUAGAAGCUCUCUUUAUUGGGCAAGUGACAGGGUAGCAAGUUCCUCCCCGGCUCUCAGUAUCAAGAAGGGUUUGAUUAUAAAAGAGAGCUUCUCUAAACCUGUUCAGGAAAAUAAAAUAGUAAAAUAUAAGUCUAUCAUUUUCAUAGGACUACCUCAUUGCCAGAAAGAGUCCUACAAUCUUUUCCGUGUUGUCAUGUACCUCUACUUAAAGGGCAUAAAAAGAAUAUCAGGAAUCACUUUGAAGAAUUAAUCUAGCCCAACACACCCUUAUAAAGAAGAUUUAAUAGUUUAUUUAAUAGUUUAUUUGACCACCUACUCAAAAUUUGUUUAUCUUCAGUUUUCCUCUAAUUCUGCAAUUUUGUUACAGUUUUACCUAAGUUUCAAACAGAUAAUCACAAUUUAAAUUAAAAACAAACACUUCACAAUAUAGGAAAAGCCUGACUGAAAGAUAAAUUGUACAUCUCAAGUUAGCACAACAAAAUGUGUUUGAUAAACUGCCAAAUAAAUCUUUGAGUUGCCUCCCCGACCCUUGAACUGAUUUUUUCUCUUAAGGGCAUAAUUAAGCUUUCAUUCAGAAUGCCGUAUACCUCACAUUGCGAUUAUUGCUCUUAUCAAAAUCAACCAGUUGUUCUCCUCAACUUGCCCUGAAAUUUUAACUCCUCCGGAAAGCUCUCAGUUGCACACUCUCUACAAACAUUCCACCCAUCUCUGGUAUCCAAUGCCCACAGCAACUCAAGGAGGCGUUUGCAAUUUUAAUACGUUCCAGAAACAGGAGUUGAAAAAUGACGAAUUCACGAUGAUGAGAGGAAAUUCUGGAGGUUUUUAAAAAAGAAAAGAUUCUAUCAUAUUACUGGACUGUAAGAAAUAUCACUAGCAAUCUUUUUUCAUACAAUCCUAGAGUUCAUUAACAUUAAACCUUUGAUCAUGUAAGUAGAGUUGCAUGACCCCAUUUCAUUACUGUUAUUAAAAAUAAUGGUACCUGCCCUGUAUCUCCCAAUCCAUGAAGGAAAAUCACCUACAAGAGAAAAAAUUAAUAAACAAUGCCCAAAUAAACCCACACAGAAUUGAUACACACUAGCGUUGGUCAAUUCUGGAUGCCAGAAUUUCAGAACACUACCUUCAGCAAAUCAAACUCCAUAGAGCUCUCUUCAGUGGGAAAAAUACUUAAUUUCUCUCACUGUAGUUCCGAAGAUAAUUAAUGUGCGGCCUUAGCACUUAAAGAGGUCCCAGUUAGACAUUCUUAAGUGCAAAUAACAUUCUAGGAAAAAUAGUUUGUUUCAAGUCAAACCAUGCAAGUCUCAUGUAAACUGUAGACUUUUUCCAUCACAAAAAGGAGCUUCCGGGGUUAAAAAGACAUUUGAGCUCCUCGUACACGGUUUUCUAAAAAACAGCACCCUGUGAUGUCAUAAGUUGCCAAUCUUCAAACUUCUUUAAUUCAGGACACGAGUGCAAGGUAAGAAAAUAAAGUCAUUUUCUUGAGGACUUCAGACUUCCCUCACCCACAAACAAGAGAGAAACGAGCAACGGAGCCACCUCGAGUUAGGGUGCCUGGCCGCUAACGCCGGUCCCUACAAGCUGGGGACUCGCUCCGCAAUGCAGAGGGCUCGGGGCUGACGGGGGCGGGCGCGCUGAUCCUCCGGCCCGGCCGCAGCCCCGGCGCCCUCCCGACACCGACCACCCCACCCCACCCCACCCACCCAGCCCACCCCGGACCCGGCGGAGGGAACCCACCCACCGGCCGCCAGGCGGUCAGCGACGCCAACCCUGCGCGAAGGGCAGUGGUGAGCAGCGGGCCGAGGGUCCCCUCCGAGCCCCGGCUGCCGCCACUCACCGCAGCAGUGGCCUUCCGGGCGGCGGGGAUGAUGGCGGGAAGCGGGGCAGACAUGUUAUUACCGCACAUACACCGGCUCGACCGACAACGCGCGUCGCAGGCGGAAGGGAGAGAGGGCUCCCGGCCCGCCCCACCGGGCGCGCGCUCAGGUGUCGGCGGCCCGGCGGCGCUCUUUCCUGCCGGGCGUCCGGGACACCCUGGGGGAGACGCUCUCAGCCCCAGCGGGACUGCGUGGUCCCUGGAGCCUGGGCUUGCCUUCCGCUCCUGGGGCGCUGUAGUGAAAAGAAUGAGCCCCAAAGCCAGUCAUCCGCAACCCCACAUACUCCUUCGUUUCCUGAAGCUGGGGUGGACUCGUUUGCGCUGGGAGAGGUCGCUCGAGCUUUCGCUGUAUUUCCGUUUGGGGCUACACCAGUGUGCAGUUUUGGAGUCGACUCCCCUCCUCCUUUAAACUUCAGCUGAAAGAGAAAACAUUCAGUUGUCACCGAGAAUGCACAACUUAUUGAUCGAUGGAUAGUGACAUAGUACUGAUUUAAGCAUGAGACUAGACGGUCCCUUUUCUGCACAGGUGGGUCAAUGCAUAUUAAAUACAUGGUAUGAUCUGGGAAAGCGCAAGAGAUAGAAACCCCGUAGAACCAAAAUGGCCAGACCUUCUGAAGUUUAUCGUUCAAUGGAGAAAGUUAAAUGAUAUACACAGUCCUUAGGGAGUACAGUGUAAGAUAGGGAAAGAAGCUGGUGAACAAAAGGCUUUAAAACACACACACACACACACACACACACACUCACUCACACUCACUCCACUUUAAUUCAUAGGAUAACCAGAAUGCAGUCGUACUGUUUUUUAUCUUUCUUGUCUUGGAUUUGAGUGCUGAGAAUUUGGGGGGCUCUCCGAAAUGUUAAAUUGAUGCUGAUUUAUUGAAAAUGAUAAUGUGACAUUUCACUUAUGAGUCUACAAUUAUGUCAGGCUUUUAAGUACUUGGUUGUGAUUUAAGUAUUUGGUUGUGAUGUUAAUAGAGACUAAAACUAUCUUUAGCUGUUAUGUCAACCUAAAUGAAGCUGUCUGGGGGGCAAGCUCAAAAAAUGAGUUUAUUUGGGAAUAGCCGAGGAAUUGCAAUUCUGGACGUGCAAACUAUGGUGAACCAUAGGCAAGUUGGAAGAGACAAGGGGAAAGUUAGUUUUUAUUAGGUGUUAGGAGGAAAUUAAGGAGGGUUAUUUAGAAUAAAAGUUCAUUGGAGAAGAACAAGAGUGUAAGGUUGUGACAAUGCGUUGUCGCUGCGGCAGGGACGGAUCUUCCUUCCUUUUCUUAAAAGCAGGAGAUGAAAUUCCUAGGUGAAGAUGUCCUCCGUUGCACCAGCAGAAAAGUUACAUUCUUAUCAUCACGGAUAAGAAGUUGGGACUGAGAGAAUUUUAUACAAAUAGGCCUGGUUAAAAUAAUUCUUAUCGUCCAUCUUCCUGCCAGUUAGGCAGGCAGCAGUGAGUGGUAUGUACGUGAGAGGUCCCCCUUCAGGGUUUCAUGACUCCAUUUUAAAAGAGGUUUUCCUUUAUUUUCACACUUACUAUGAACAAAACAUGUUCCAAGACACUACUAGUCUGAGUUUUUCUGUGAUGUAAUAUGUAGAGUUCCAGGUGCCACCAGCGGUUCUAUCAACUGACUUCCGUUAGUUGGGAGUAGGACAGCUCAAUUUUAUCUAGAGACAUGCACAGCAUAACAGCGUUUGGGUCAAGGACGGAGGGCAUAUAGGAGGGUGGUCCCGUAAGAUUAGUACCAUAUAGCCUAGGUGUGUAGUAGUCUAUACCAUCUAGGUUUGUGUGAGUACACUCUAUGAUGAAUUGUGUAAGUACGCUCAAUGAUGAAACUGCCUAACACAUUUCUCAGAAUGUAUCCCCAUCAUUGAGCAAUGCGUGGCUAUAUUUCUGUCAUCCUCCCCUCUUAGCCAGUCCAAUUGCUGCUAUUCCUGCAAGAUUCACCGAAGUCUUACAUCCUCUAAGGAACCUUAGUGUUCUAAUUAAUCUCUUUGUCCCCCAGAUAAGAGAAAGAAAGAAAUAUAGUAAUAGAAAAAAGACAAAAUUAGCAUUAUUUUCAGAGGAUGAUGAUGCUAAGGUGUUUAAAGCAAAAGCCAACUGAGUAAAUUUGAAGAUCGAAUUGGCUCUAUCCAACAAUUCAUGAAUUGAGCAGCAUCCCAGCUAGCAAAUAGAAGGGAGGUCCAAGGAGCUAUGCAAAGUGGAAGGCUGUUAUGGGCAGAAGGGACGGAAUAAAGGAAGUUUCUAGCAAAGAGCAGAUUCGGGCAAGAUCACCUUCCUUUGGGGAAGAGUAGUGUGGGGAUCUAUGAGGCAGAUUACUCACUCAUGCCGACCAGGUAAUUCCAGAUUGACUAGUUAAAGGUCACAUUCCUGUGAGAGACUGAAAGUGCAAUUAAGUCUUGAUUUAUUGAUGUGGGACUUAGCACAAGUGACACCAUUUUGUUCCUGUUUUUUCUUUUUUAACAGUUCUCCCCCUUUGCAUGAGACUCUUAGCAUAACUUGAAAGAUGUGAUCAAAAUUUAAGGCAUUAGUGCCACUCUCAGCUACCGCUCUGUUGGUCUCGCAGCUUUUACUGUUUCUCCGUGUUAUAGUCACAGGUCAUGAGGUUUUCUGCUGAAUCCUGUGGUAUUCACAGGUCACGACUUCACAUUCAUUUGCUUGAUGGUUAGCAGCUGCAAACACGCAUUUAAAGCUUUUGAGAGAAUACAGUGCAUCAGGGAGAUUACUAUGACUGUUACUGGUAGGAUAAUUCCCAUGUCUGGAGUGCACUUCAGAGCCAUGGUCCCCAAGACCCAAACCAAUCAAAAUCCAAUAAGUGAAAGAAAUACUCUGUUGAAGGAGUCACCUUUUUAAGCCAAGUGGCGCACUCAGUGAUUUUAUGUAACUAAAUUUCAGCUUCCCCAGAAGUGUUAAUCCAGGUGCAGCGGUGGUGGCCACAGCACAGACACAUCCUUGCUCAGCUAACAAAUGAUCAAGGGCUGUCAUAUUAUCAAGAACUACUUUGAGCUGAGAGUCUAGAGAUUUUCAUUGGGCAGCUAUUGCUUUAGCAGCGAAUUCUGCAAUACUUUCAAGAGUUAAGGAGGGAUUUCUGAUCACAGCCUCAUUUGUACUCACUCCUAACAAAGGAAGUAGGGACCUGCCGAAAGAAGCACAUCCUGAAUCAUGAAGGCCUCCUGGCAGGUCUUUUCGAAUUGGAUGAUUAGGGGAGUUGACCAAUGAAGUGUCUUAGCCUAUUUGAGAACAGUUGAGUGGCACAGUUAGAUAACCUAAGGGGCAUUGCCCAGUUAUGUGUUAGCCAUCUAAGCAUUUAUAGGUCCAAGGAGAAUGAUCACCACCACCGAUGAAAUUAAAUCCUGUUGGGGCGUAAACCAUUACUGCUCAGGUGGCAUUGUUCAUGGGUUCCAGCAUCAUGAACAGAUUGGAGUUUUUGAUGAUGAAUCCAGCUGUCUGAAAGGUUGCUCUCCCUUAGUAAUGGCUUGGGAGAUAUGAUGGUGGCAUUAUCUUGCCAGGCCAAUGCCAGAGUAAAGGAAAGAAGAGAGGAAGACAGUGUUUCAUGUUUAGUUAAAAUGGGAAAUCUUGAUCUGGUGUCUUGGGUGGAAGCAGUCUACGUCAAUGUCAGCUGCUUCUCCUGCUCAUCAGUUUGAUUCAGAGGUCUUCAGUGUUUGUAAAGGACCAGAGGUCAGGAGGAGCUUUCUUCCACUGUGAGAUGUGUAGCCAAGGUUUAAGUCCUGGAGGUUUGGCUGCCAUCUGGGUCGGGAGGAAGACCUAGUAUAUUCCUUUCCAAGGAGAUUCAAGGACAGUCUUUGGUCUCAGUGAUUCCAAAUCAGAAGGAUGGGAGGCAAUAGGAAACAUUCGGUUGGAGAGUGGUAGCCAGAUAUUUGAGAAAAUUAGAAGAAUUUAGGAUCCAGUUCAGUUUACAGGUAUAUAACAAAACCUCAAAGACAAUUAACAGGGUUAGAAUCUAAAUAUCUACAAAGGUGCAAACAUAAUUUUUCUCUCUACAAUUACCCCAUUUUUUACCAAAGAUAAUCAGAGUAAAACUAAUUUGUUUGUAUUAAACUUGGCCUGAUUAUUUACAUGAGUGUAGCAAGAAUGGUGAUUGACCACAUAAGCUCUUUUAAGACUGCUUUGCUGGAACUUUUUAUAAGGAAUCUCAGAUUUGACUCUUUCAAAGCCUCUGAGGCCAGGAAGCCGAGCCAAGUUUCAGGCAGUUCCUUACAGCUGUCUGGUCAUGUCUGAAUCUAUGCAUCUCUCUCUCAACUAUGACAUUCCAGUCAAAGCCUUGGUAA